UUUUAGCCCCAAUAGCAGUGAAAAUCCUUUUGCUUUUUUCUUUAAAAAGCAAAAGAUUGGAACAGAUUGCUUCGC
RNAcentral lists this small RNA (75 nucleotides) under Flavobacterium psychrophilum. RNAcentral describes it as "Flavo-1 RNA". It matches the Rfam family "Flavo-1 RNA". The record is from RNAcentral. RNAcentral also lists the same sequence under 2 other names. Lineage: Bacteria; Pseudomonadati; Bacteroidota; Flavobacteriia; Flavobacteriales; Flavobacteriaceae.